CCUGAGAAACCCGAAAGAUCGAAUGGGGAGAUUCAUCGUCAACUUAUUCGAUAUAUGUAUGAGUUAUGAUAUGAAUUGUUCUCUCACGAGAAUAUAAAUUUGUACAUACUUUUAUUAUUUUAUUGUUGAAUAUUGUCGGCGUGCACUUCUCCCCUAGUAGGACAUCGCGACCCGCUGAGUGUUGAUCUAUGGCCCGAUUGGGAGCCUUUGAUUGUAAAAAAUCGAAGACCAAUUGGUGAGUUCUGAUCAACUGCUCGGCGGUACUCGUAUGGUAUUGAGUCGCAUUCAUAUGCGUCCACACCCAUUGCAAGCGCGAUCAGAAUCCCGGUAGUCACGGACUUAGUGCCGUCGCUGGGUCUGAUCAGCUGUUGGUAUUGUGGUGUUCUGUGACUGACUCUAAAAAUACCGGUUA
Molecule: ribosomal RNA, 412 nt
Filed under: Mesostoa kerri
Lineage: Eukaryota; Metazoa; Arthropoda; Insecta; Hymenoptera; Braconidae
Description: eukaryotic LSU rRNA
Source: RNAcentral